Molecule: ribosomal RNA, 440 nt
Filed under: uncultured bacterium
Lineage: Bacteria
Description: partial 16S ribosomal RNA
Rfam family: Bacterial small subunit ribosomal RNA
Source: RNAcentral
CCUACGGGUGGCAGCAGUAGGGAAUAUUGGGCAAUGGGCGCAACCCUGACGCAGCAACGCCGCGUGGAGGAAGAAGGCUUUCGGGUUGUAAACUUCUUUUCUCAGGGACGAUGAUGGUGGCGUUAACCGAGUAAUCAGCCACUAACACCUUGCCAGCAGCAGCGGUAAUACGGAGGGGGAAAGCGUUAGUCGGAAUCACUGGGUGUAAAGAGCGGGUAGGCGGGAUAGCAAGUCAGAUGUGAAAUCCUAUGGCUUAACCAGCGGACUGCAUUUGAAACUGUUUUUCUUGAGUAUUGGAGAGGUAGGUGGAAUUCUUGGUGUAGCGGUAAAAUGCGUAGAGAUUAAGAGGAAUACUCGUGGCGAAGGCGGUCUGCUAGAACGUAACUGACGCUGAUGCGCGAAAGCGUGGGGAGCAAACAGGAUUAGAUACCCCUGUAGUC